Molecule: long non-coding RNA, 1478 nt
Organism: Stylophora pistillata
Lineage: Eukaryota; Metazoa; Cnidaria; Anthozoa; Scleractinia; Pocilloporidae
Source: RefSeq, a predicted model, not a curated record
AAACAAUCUAUUUUUAUUGUAGAAGCUCAAUACACUUUAGUGUUUCUGUUUUAAUUGGUCAUUUGUAGCUAGGAAAAGGAACACAAAUCCUAUGUAACAUUAAAGUGUUUUGGAGAAUAUGGCCAAAAAAAUCUGAAAAGAAAUGUCUGCAUUGAGUUGAGAUUGAUUGAGAAACCAUGUUCUUUAUUACCUAAAUAACGGUAGCUAAUGCAGAUUAGAAAAAUACUUUAUGAGAACUGUAUCAGGCUAGGUUUUAAGCAUAUAUGGUGAACAAUAAUAUUCGGUUGUAAGUUGUAAUAUUUUUAUAAAUAAGCCAUGAAGGUGAACACUAACAUUCGGUUGUAAGUUAUAUUAGUUUGAUAAAUAAGCCAUGAAGGUGGGAAGACCAAAAUAUUUGCAUAAAACAGUCAAAACAAAUAAACAAACAAACAAGUAAACUAACAAGCUGUUCCAGCAAGGAUGACAAAUGGUAUUGUGUAGCAGUUUGUACUGUAACCAAUGAAUUUCAGUAUUUUCAUAUUUUUAGUGAUUAAGGCAUAGCAAAGGCAGGUCUUAAUAACUAUUUCUAGCGUUUGUUAAUUUGGCUUUUCGGUGAUGGUUUGCACUUAAAACAAAACAAAACAGCCACACUUCUUCUUAGCUGUCUGCAGAUAUCUACAGUAAAGGAAAUGGACUAAAACAAAGAGUUAUAAUUCAUCUCUUGCAAACAAACAGUAAGAAGAAUAAUAUCAAAAUAAUAUACUUAAUAUAUACAUCAUCGGAGACCAUGGUGGAUUUACAACAUUUCAUGAAACUUAAGAAAGUUUGGCAGGCUACUAUAAUUGUUAAAAGCUAAAUUUUGAAAUAUAAAAUUAAUAUACAGUUGAAGUUGUGUUUGUUUGACUUAUUCUAUUCAGAUAUUGCAGAACACAAAUCACACUAAUAUUAUUGAUACCAGUGAGAGAAAUACAUCUUUGAAUCCAGAUUAAAUGUUAACUAAAUAAACGCAGAAUUGAUUAUUUUGUUCAAAAGUGAUUAAUUUUUAGGAAAUAGUUUGUUAAUUGACAACAAAGAGGUUUCUGUCAUUAACAGGUCUAAUUCAGUUAAGAGUGUUUCCAUAGAUCCACUGAUCUAAUCAAGUGUAGAAGCUAUUACACAACUGCAACAGUUCACUUUUAACAAAAUAAUCAAUGCUUGUCGAUAUAACCUUAGCUAUUAAACCUGUAGCCUGACCUAGCCCCCUGUAUAGUCUGCAAAAACCAUACUCUUAAUUUGCGAUCAUUACAAAAAACACUAGCAAGACAUUUUUUGGCGGUACAGUUAGACAUAAUAAAAAUGUGGUGGUUCACUUUCUUUAACUGAACUGAACAUUUUAUGACCUGUUAAUGACAUAAACAAUUUGACAAGUUGAGGUUGUAAAUAAUAAAUGUUAGUAAUAUCGAGUCUGCCAUUUUUAUUGUUCUCACUUCCAGGUGCCAUCACAAUCCUUAAAAAAAAAA